GGCGUCCCCCCUGGAGAGAGGUGGCCCCCGAGGUCAUCCACCGAAGGAGCAAGCGCGGCAUCGCCCGCGUGAAUCUCUCAGGUAAAGCGGACAGUGGGGCAGCG
RNAcentral lists this non-coding RNA (104 nucleotides) under Hydrogenophaga sp. RNAcentral describes it as "Glycine sequence". It matches the Rfam family "Glycine riboswitch aptamer". From Rfam's summary of the family: This family represents the bacterial glycine riboswitch. Glycine riboswitches usually consist of two metabolite-binding aptamers domains with similar structures in tandem. The aptamers cooperatively bind glycine to regulate the expression of downstream genes. Lineage: Bacteria; Pseudomonadati; Pseudomonadota; Betaproteobacteria; Burkholderiales; Comamonadaceae. The record is from RNAcentral. RNAcentral also lists the same sequence under 1 other name.